Molecule: long non-coding RNA, 422 nt
Filed under: Monodelphis domestica (gray short-tailed opossum)
Lineage: Eukaryota; Metazoa; Chordata; Mammalia; Didelphimorphia; Didelphidae
Description: lncRNA (ENSMODG00000044441.1)
Source: RNAcentral
CAAAGCUGAAAUACGUUGCAAGCUCUACUAUUUUAAGGUUAUUUAAAAAAUUCUCAUCCUUUUUUAAAGGGUGAAGAAUGAUUUCUAAGGUAGCCAAGCAAAGAAAGAAUUCAGCCUUCUUUACUACAUUCAACCUAACCUACCCAAGCCUAGAGAUACAGAAACAUCUCCCAGACUCUGACAGCAGAAACAACAUCAAGCAUAAGCAACUAACCCAAAUGGAUGGAUUCCAGCUAGAAAUGCAGCAGCACUCUACAUCCUCAGGUAGAAAAAUGCGCGGCUUCAUCCAUUGCGGCUCCCCACCCCCCACCCCCAAGCCCUACCCUCGGGCCCAAUUCCCAGGCUCGGGGCAGCAGCUUCCUUUAGCUCAAACACAGGCAAUGGCAGAACCCCAUGUUAAUUACUGUACGUUUCCACUGUAA